ACGCCGAUGGUGAAGCGGUUAUCAUGCUUGCCUUCCAAGCAAGCGGCAGGGGUUCGACUCCCCUUCGGCGUA
Paxillus rubicundulus Ve08.2h10 is the source of this 72-nucleotide non-coding RNA. NCBI's taxonomy places the organism in Eukaryota, Fungi, Basidiomycota, Agaricomycetes, Boletales, Paxillaceae. The record is from Rfam.